UUCUUGUUGGUGUGUGGUGGUUGACAGU
This 28-nucleotide non-coding RNA is filed under the name Rattus norvegicus (Norway rat). Lineage: Eukaryota; Metazoa; Chordata; Mammalia; Rodentia; Muridae. The record is from RNAcentral.